UGGGUUUGCAGUGUUCAGUGUUUGCAGAGUUGAAGCAUUUGCAGUGUUUGUAGCUCCAGUUAAGAAUGUAACAACUGGCACUUACUGCUAAUUGAAUGAGUAAACAUAUCAAAGCGACCAAUGAGUGGCAUGUGAUGCUAUGAAGUCCUACAAUUCCUCAGUGGCCUCCCAAACUCUGGGGGUCAAAGGUCAAAUAGUUAGCCCCGAGUUUGGUGCUAUUAACAGAGUUCAAAGGUCAGUUUAUGGCAACUAGUCUCACACUUGUCACCAAAAGUGUACCAAGUAAAAACUAAAGGUUGAAAUGAGCGUCUUUGAGUCAUUUAUUAUGUUUAUUUUGGCUUAUAGAUCACUUUGCUUUAUAUUUAAAGAAACCAGAAAGUAAAACUCUUUAGUUUUUGGUGUUUUGAGUUAAACAUGUACAGAUUAAAACAGAAAGUUAACUUUUUUCCUCUAAAAUCUGCUAGCUGAUUGAGGAGAUAAUUAUAUUUUGUUUUUUUUCAGGAUGAUAAACAUAAACAUGGAUGGAGAGAAGUAUGUUCCAUUCAGGUAUGCAAACAUAAGUUGGGGGCUUAUUCUGCAAAUCUCAUGAAUAUUCAGCCAAGCUGUACUUUAAUAAACAUGAAAGGCAUAAAUGCAGAUAAAUAAACCAUUAUGUUAUUACCAUGUUUUUCUCCUUGUACCUCUAAUCUGCUAUUCUGACUUUUGUCAUUCUGGCACUCGCUGUCCUUUUGGCUGACCCCUCCAACAACCACAGCACCUGUUCCCUACCACAAGUGGAGCAGAGAAGCUAUUAAAACCCAAAAUAUCUCCCAUUGAAGUGCAGCUCAGCUCAUCUCACAGGCACUAUUCAAACAUCGAUCUGUGCGUAUUAUGGAGCAGGAACCGCCAAGGUUCAACGAGGAAUUUUCAAUCAGGACUUUCCAGCAUCUGCUGACAUUCGAUGGAUUUGAGCGAAGGACGCCACAAGAACCUGCUGCUCACAGUCUCUACGUGGGAAUUUAUUUCAUUAAAAAAG
Non-coding RNA from Xyrichtys novacula (pearly razorfish), 1015 nucleotides. NCBI's taxonomy places the organism in Eukaryota, Metazoa, Chordata, Actinopteri, Labriformes, Labridae. The record is from the annotation of a GenBank genome assembly.